UUUAAAUAUAUUUAUGAGGGAGGGGGUGACCUUCUCAGCCUUUACAAGUUCAAAAUGUGAAAGUCAGUGGCGGUUUCGUUAAACAAAUUCAAUUUGGUACGUCACAUGUAACUUGCAAGUCAAUAAUUCAAACUGGAUUUUUUAUUCGUUGGAGCUAUUGUUGACAAUUGGUUGGGAAUUUAAUUCUAGUUCUAGAUAGAAACUAGGAGACCGUGAUGCGGCAUCAAAGAGAUUAUGUUUGAGCUAGGACCGGAAAAGCUUAGCUGGUUGAUGUCAAAUAGAGCAAUCUCAUGAUGGGUUGGGUUGGGUGUGCAUCAACACUGAUGGAGCGCACUCACGAGAAACUUUGUGGUGGUGUGAUUUGUGGGGAUGGAGUUUGGUUGAAAUCCUAAAUAAAAUUUAGACUUUAUUGUAGAUGAUCUUUCUUACUAAAGUUUGUUUGGUCAAGCUAUCAUUUACCCUAAUUCAACAUUAAUUUUUUCCUCCAUUGUGAUAACAUUAAAUCUUUUUAAGUGGUUAAGCGUUCUCUUUCUCUUUAUUUUGAAAAAGGAAAAAGUAGAUUUGCCUCUUCUCUCAUUUCUCCUCUCAUCGCCUCCUUUCAAUUUCAUCAUUGGAAACCUGAUCGUUUUCACCAGUGAAUUGAGUUUCUAUGCGACUGGAGGCUAGGGAUUGCACUUCAGAAUUUUAUCGGAAUGGUUUUGAAGGUGUGUGUAUUUAUGUGAUGCAAUCACAGAAGGACUCUUCUAUUUAAACCUUUUGUUUCCAGAUUUUGUCUCUGAUAUUGACUUGAUGUGUGCUUAAUUAUUCAGAGCUGGUUCAAGGUAAUUUUAUGCAUAAUUUGGAGCGAGAUCGAGGUGAUUUUCUUGCAUAAUUUAGAGCUGGUUUUCUGCAUGUGGGCUAAUGUAAUGCAGCAGCAGUGUUUUGGUACUGCAGCUGCUACAUAGUGGCAUUUUUUCCUCCCUGUGUUCUGAUUUGUCUAUUUGUGUUCCAGCUGCAACAUAUUGGUUUUAAUUUCUUCUCUUUGCCUUGGUCUUCAUGUGUUUUGGCUCAAUUUACAAAAAAAAUUACUGUGUCAAUUAUAUAAUUUUAGUAUAUGACUAUAAUUUAUGGUGGUUCAAUCUGUCUCGAAGAAUGAUGCUGAAGAAAAUGAAGCUGACAUAAUAGAAUAAUUUAUACACCUCUUAUUGUAAAUUAUUUAUAUCAUCUAGCAAUAUAAUUUAUAUGAUAUGAUGCAUGUGUAUUAAGAAUGGUUUUGGAGACGGAACUGGAACUUUACUCAUGGGCAUGUAUUUUAUAAUGCUACUAUAGUCUUCUUCCAAAAUAUAUGCUUAUGGAAUGUCUUUCUUUUUUUUCAUAUCCAUAUGUGUGCUUAACUAUUCAGAGCUGGUUCAAGGUAAUUUUCUGCAUAAUUUGGAGCGAGAUCGAGGUGAUUUUCUGCAUAAUUUAGAGCUGGUUUUCGGCAUGUGGACUAAUGUAGUGCAGCAGCAGUGUUUUGGUACUACAGCUGCUACAUAGUGGCAUUCUUUCCUCCCUGUGUUUUGAUUUGUCUAUUUGUGUUCCAGCUGCAACAUAUUGGUUUUAAUUUCUUCUCUUUGCCUUGGUCUUCAUGUGUUUUGGCUUAAUUUACAAAAAAAGUUAUUGUGUCAAUUAUAUAAUGUUAGUAUAUGACUCUAAUUUACGGUGGUUCAAUUUGUGUCUAAGAAUGAUGCUGAAGAAAAUGAAGCUGACAAUCUAGAUGCAAACUUAUUGACUAUGUCUAAUGAAAAGGCACUUGAGAACCCUGUAAUCGAGAGUGCAGAUUCAACCAAGUCUGACAAUAGGCAGAGUGAUAAUAACCAAACCGUCAUUGAGACUAACCGUGUAGCAAAUUAAGUGGCAAGCAGAUCGUUGAUAUUGUAGGCUCUACCAAGCUUGGAACUGAAUUGGGGGAUAACUCAACCUACAAAACACGGAAAGUGAAAUGCACUAUGUAACAGCCCGAUUUUUAGCUAGAUUUAUUUUAAUUACUUUUAAUUGUGUUUGUGUGUAUUUAAUUGUCGUCGGGUGCAUUUACGUGGAUUACCGUAUUAUAAGGGUAUUUUAGUCAUUUGACGGGUAAGGGUAAAAUGGUAAUUUUGGUGAGAAUCAUUUUAAUAUUUAGUGAGAACCCUUAUUUUACUAAGUUACUAGUGUAGUGAUUAGUUUUUACCGUUAGUGACCGUUCGUUAUAUUUUACCGUUGUUAGUAAUUAUCGUUGAGUGUAUAGAAACUUUUUGGAAUUAUGUUAGAAUGAGUUAAGCUCAUUAGAAUUUGGAAUUGAGCCCAUUAAGGGAGAUAACAUUAGGGUUGUCAUAGGAAAAUAUCUUUCAUUCACUUCACAAAACAUUUUCCUAGAGAGAGAGAGAGGUAGAGAGAGAAAGAGGUGAAGAGAAGAACAAGAGUGUUGAAGGGAAAGCUUGGGGAAUCAAUUUGGGUGACCUAUGAGCUGAAUUGAAGCAAGGGUUAGAGAUAAUCAACUUCAAAGGUAAGGGGGUUAGUUAUUAUCAUAAUCAUGUACAAUCUUUGCAUUUUCUCAUGUUGUAUGAAAAUGGGUUGAUGAACAAUUGUUGCUAAAUUCGUGCUCUUGCUGUGAUGCUAUUUUCUUGUGCAUGAAUUGAUGAUUAUGGUAUGUUUGUGGGUGAAAUUACAUGUUUCAAAGUAUGUAUAAAUGUUAAGUUAUGAAAUUAUGCUUAAUUGAUGAAAUUUGAUAUGUUUUGAUUGAAAUGAGAUGUGAUUCAUAUUCCAUUGAUGUGGUUAUUGUUAACUGAUGCUAUUGUAAGUGAAUUAUGAUUUGGGUAUACUUAAUUGUGGAUUGAUGAUGAGAAAUAAAUUGUUGUUGGUGGUUUUGUGAAAUUGGUGAAGUUGAGUUAAGUGUUCAUGUGAAGGACCAAAAUGAACUUUUGGUAUAUAUAUGGUUGUUGACUGAAAUUUUGAUAUUGUUGGAUGAAUUGAACCUAUGAGAAUUUCUGUUUUCAUGUUGUGGUUAUGUUAGUUGAGUCGUUUGGGAGAAAACGGGUUUUUCGUGUGAAAUGUCAAUGUUUAAGCGUUUUCGCCAAUAAGUGAUUAUGUGAGGUUUUGGAAAAUGACUUUUGGGAUGGUUGAAACAUGAAAUUUUUAUAGAUUAUGUUAGAGUCAAGUGUCAGGAUCGUGUAGGUGAAAACGGCAUCAAAAUCCGAUUAACGGUUUGCAUUUUACGCGCAAAAUGGUGAAAAACGCACUUUUUGAAAAAGCUGUAAGCGAACAGGCCAGAAGCACACUUCAGAAGCAUACUUCAGAAGCACACUUCAGAAGCAUGCCAGAAGCUUCUUAAGAAGCAACCGUGCCCAGUUCCAGCAGCCCUGUUUCGUGUUCUUGCGUCUUUUUCACCUAUUCUGUUUUGAAUUGGCCCUUGGUGUAAACAUGAAAGUUUUAGAUAAUUUUGUUAGCUUUCUAAUGGCGUUGGUUUGAGGUCCAAAUGAUUUUUAGAACUUGAGUUAUGAUCAAAUUACUACACAUGGGUCAUGUGGAUUUUUGUGAAAACUUAUCGUAACUUUUUCUUUAAGCCGUGAAACUUUUCCAAACUUGAUAUUGGGUUUAACGAAGUACUUAGAGUGAAUAAUUGAGUAUGCAUUUAUGUAUUUGGGAAUGUGAAUGUGUUGAUGGUUUAAGAAAAUAUUUUGAGUGGAGUAGAAUCGGUGAAAACGAGUUUUGAGCUAAAUGUCGUUUUGUCUUGGUUCUUCUCAUACGAACUUAAGCUAUCCUUUGAACUAAUUUCUAAUAGUUUGUAAGUGGCUUAAGUCCUUGACUACAUGAUUGAUUAAGAUUGAAUUGUAGGAUUUCAAAUUUGAAUAAGUUACCUAAGUUUGAAAAUUAUCAAUGUUGGCCGUUUGCCACAUGAUUUGAAUUUUUGUCGGAAAUGUUUCUUUAGCAAAUUGUCUUGUGAGUUAUUGAGAUUAUUCUUGUAUGACUAAGUGAAGUUGUAUGAAUGAAUGAUUGUAUUGAAUAUGAUGUUUAUCAUGAGAUGUUAUAUGUUAUCUUACUUAGAAUGUAAGGAAUGCUUGAAUGGUGAAACUAUAUGUGAUAGUUGAUUAUGAAUGAUUAUAUGUUGGAUAUGAUAUUUAUCAUGAGAUGUUGUUUUCCAUAUUACUUGGAAUAUGAGAAUGCUUGAAUUGGUGAACUAUAUGUGACAGUUGAUGUUGAAUAACAUUGUGGAUUAUUGAUGAUCAUGUUGAUGUGAUGAUGGUGAAUACUAUGAUUUAUUUGUGUAUGGGCAUGUUUUCUUGAUAAUGCAAUGAUGUGGAGAUAAUCAAUAUAAUUGGGUGUUGUCCUAUAUAUUGAGAUUGAGAUUGUGAAUUGUUGUCGCAUUAUCGAGUCCUUAUACAUGUCCAUGCAUCAUAGUCGUUGUUGCUGUAAAAGGGAUGACUCUUUUACUUCGAGAUUAUUGUAAGGCAGGUGUGAGCCCUUACAUUCGAUGUGCAAGUGGCAUCGAAAGGUGACGACGUUGUUGAGAUUUGGUACCACAUGCAUUUAUGUGUCAAUAAGUGCAUAUCAUGACAUGAGUCUUAUUUGGAAAUGUGAUUGGAGAUUGUGAAUGAAUAUUUGUGAAUUGAUAAUUGUUCAUGAAAUAUGAUUAAUGAUCGUGCAUGGCUUAUGAUUGGUGAUUGUUCAUGAUGUAUAUGAUCGGUGAUUGUUCAUGAUGUAUAUGAUUGGUGAUUGUGUAUGAAUAACUGUGAAUUAAUUAUUAUUCAUGAUACAUGUAAUUGGUGAUUUUUCAUGAAAUGUGAUUAGUGAUUAUUCAUGAUACAAGUAAUUGGUGAUUGUUCAUGAAAUGUGAUUAUUGAUUAUUCAUGAUAAAUGUGAUUGGUGAUUGUGAAUGAAUAAUUGUAAAUUGAUAAUUGUUCAUAUGAUUGAUGAAGAUUGAUGUGAGAUAUUGGGGUGUGAUGUAAGUACUAAUGUGUAAUUAUUAUUGAUCAAGUCCAUGAUGUUUUAAUUGAAAUAUUCAUGUUAACUGUUAUUUGGAUUGUGAUCUAAUUAAUCAUAGUUUUCUCGUGAGAUCUAAAAUAUUCAAGAAGCAGAAUAAAUAUACUACACUGUCUUGUUCUUGUACCAAAAAGUUAAGGUAAAUGCUAAUUUAUGUUCUUGAGGACGCACAUGUUAAUGAAUCAAAUAUAAAAAAUAUAUUGAAAUGUGUGUAUUAUAUUUAAUCUUUUACUUUUUAAAGAAUUG
RNAcentral lists this long non-coding RNA (5223 nucleotides) under Medicago truncatula (barrel medic). RNAcentral describes it as "lncRNA gene19205". Lineage: Eukaryota; Viridiplantae; Streptophyta; Magnoliopsida; Fabales; Fabaceae. The record is from RNAcentral.